Molecule: ribosomal RNA, 330 nt
Filed under: uncultured bacterium
Lineage: Bacteria
Description: bacterial SSU rRNA
Rfam family: Bacterial small subunit ribosomal RNA
Source: RNAcentral
AACGAACGCUGGCGGCGUGGAUUAGGCAUGCAAGUCGAACGCGAAAGAGGGGGUAACUCCUCGAGUAGAGUGGCGAACGGGUGAGUAACACGUGAGAAACCUGCCUUCAGCAGGGGGAUAACACUCCCAACGGGGUGCUAAUACCGCAUGAGACCACGGAUUCGCAUGGAUCUGGGGUCAAAGGUGGCCUCUGCUUGCAAGCUACCGGCUGAAGAUGGUCUCGCGUCCCAUUAGCUAGUUGGUGGGGUAAUGGCCCACCAAGGCGACGAUGGGGUAGCUGGUCUGAGAGGAUGGUCAGCCACACUGGGACUGAGAUACGGCCCAGACUCC